AUGGAAUUCAUGGAGCAGGAACACAGUGUGGUCCCAGGUAAUUAUAACUAUGGCAAACUUCAGUCUGCUAGGCUUAACAACGAGUCACUGCGUGAGCGUCUGAAAGAAAAGGACCGCAAUAUCGAAAUACUGAAAAAGAUCAAUACAUCUCUGGCGCAGCAAAUGGAAGAGAAGAGCAACACUCUUGACUCCAUUAUGAAGACAAACAAAGACAUGAUGGAGAAGGUGGCUGAAAAAGAUGUUGCCAUUGAAUCCAUCAAAAAUGUCAAUCAAACACUACUGAAGCAGCUUGGUGAGAAACAAGUGAUAAUAAAAAAACUCAGCAAAGGCUGGGAUAACUCACUGGAUACUGGAUUUUCAGCAACCAUCCAACUUCAGUGCCUGAUUGAUGAGGGCAUGUUCCCUGGAUCAACGCAGGCAGACAUUGAGCUCAAUGCGACUCUCCAGAGUGCUCAGCACAUAUGUGAGUACCUUGAGCAGAACACCAUCCUUGCUGUUGAGUACCUGCAGUCCAUUGGGACAUAUCCAUAUGACCCAAAGCCAGGCUUUACUGAUGAGGAAGACAACUGUUCAGUGGACCCCGAACCCGUGCCACCAGAGAAUCCACCCUACAUGAGAAGCUGGCUGGAUGAUGAGGAGAUCUUUGACAGUGAAGGUAAUUGCUCUGCAGACUUAGACACUUUGGCCGAGGAGCACUUCUGA
RNAcentral lists this ribosomal RNA (702 nucleotides) under Triticum aestivum (bread wheat). RNAcentral's name for it is "partial small subunit ribosomal RNA". The record is from RNAcentral. Lineage: Eukaryota; Viridiplantae; Streptophyta; Magnoliopsida; Poales; Poaceae.